UAGGCCUAAGUAAAUCAGUGUUGAGCCUGAACUCUACACGUCUGCUAUUCAUCCACAUAUGUGUGUGUGGAUCUCAGCGGCCCCGCUAGUGGCGCUGACCCUACAGUAGACCUGGUCCAGGUCCUGGUCCCGCUCCUGGUCCAGGGGUUCCGCUCCCGCUCCCGGUUCCGGUCCCGCUAUCGGUCCCGCUCUCGGUCCCGCUCUCGGUCCCGGUCCGGCCGCCAGGCGGCGCCGCUAGACCGCGGAUCGGCCCGCAGCUCCAGAGCAGAAAGCCCCUCGGUGUGACGAGCUGCUUCCUGACCAGACCUGCCGGGAGCCACACCUCGGACCCGAGAUCCGAGACCCGAGAUUCGAGACAAGUACCCGCGACCGAACGGCAGGAUCUAUACUCCAGACCCGGACCAUUUGGACCCUCUCGGAGUGUGAGCAGAGCCUGCGAGAAGGAGCGGAACGCGUUUCUGCUCUGUGGAGAACGAGGAAGAGGAGACGUCACCGGGUUCAACUGUUCCUGGUCCGGUGAGCGGAACGCUUCUGGUUCUUCUUUGAACGGGGCAUUUAUAGGUUAUUUGAAAUCGUUAUGAUAUAAAAACCAGACGACAUCUCCAACUAAACGACGGCGAAUCCAAACUAUGGUCACUAGUAGGCGACUCGCUCAGGUCUCCACGGUGAACCCACCGACUGCUGAGCCGUUCGGGGUCCCUGCGGUCAGAGAUGAACCCUGAGGAAUCCCUGUUUCCCUGUUGCCGUGGUAACCACAUCCCAUGACCUGACUCCAGCAGCUGAAUGCCCCACAGCGUCGCCACGGAAACCAACCCCAGCGUGGCGCUCCGGGUGUCGCGGAGUCUCGGGAUGAGCGAGUUUUGGCACAAGAUGGGAUGCUGCGUGGUGGCCACGCAACCACAGAAGAGGAGGAGGAGGCCGAAGAUAGACCUCAGUAUGAUCGGGGAGCCCACCAACUUCAUGCACCUCACCCACAUCGGCUCUGGAGAGAUGGCCGAUGGACCGUCAGGGUCGAUGCAGGAACAGAUGCGGUCGAAAGGACCCCCCACGAACGGCAGAAACAGUCUCUUAUAGUAGAUAUAGAUAUAGAUACACAGCUAUAUCUAUAUCUAUAUCUACACGUCUCAUAUUGCUGUUCUGCAUUGACACAUCUGGUCCUGCUGGAUGCAAUCCUGUUCCAAACAUCUGGUCUCUCCCGGUCCCGUCCUGGUCCCUCCUGGUCUCUCCUGGUCCCUCCCGGUCUCUCCUGGUCCCUCCCGGUCUCUCCUGGUCCCUCCCGGUCUCUCCUUGUCCCUCCUGGUCUCUCCUGGUCUCUCCUGGUCCCUCCUGGUCCCUCCUGGUCCCUCCCGGUCUCUCCUGGUCUCUCCUGGUCCCUCCUGGUCUCUCCCGGUCCCUCCUGGUCUCUCCUGGUCUCUCCCGGUCCCUCCCGGUCCCUCCCGGUCUCUCCCGGUCCCUCCUGGUCCCUCCUGGUUUCUCCUGGACCCUCCUGGUCUCUCCCGGUCUCUCAUGGACCCAGUACCCUGGCCCUCCAUCCCGGACCCUCUUCUUCUUCACCUUCCUCUCACUGCGUGUCCCCCCCCCCCUGGACAGACCCCCACAGUGCCUGGAGGACAGAAGGACUACUGGAGGAAAGACGGACUACUGGACUAGUAAUGAAAGACUCUUUGGGAGGAGGGGAGGUGUUGAUAAAGGCUGUCUUCAUGAGAUCAUUUCACUGCUGUUGUGUUAGCUGUUGUGUUAGCUGUUGUGUUAGCUGUUGUGUUAGCUGAUGUGUUAGCUGUGGUGUUAGCUGUGGUGUUAGCUGUGGUGUUAGCUGAUGUGUUAGCUGAUGUGUUAGCUGAUGUGUUAGCUGUUGUGUUAGCUGUGGUGUUAGCUGUUGUGUCGUGGUGGUUUCUAAACAACGGGGACCUGCUCCUUUAACCCAGUGACUCCUCUGUCUGGGAGGAGGAGUCACUGGUUAGUCAUUAACCUAACGAGUGGAGUAAGGUUCAGUACGGUGCAGUUUGGUGGAGUAAGGUUCUGUUAGGUGGAGCAAGAUUCAGUUAGGUCGAGCAAGGUGCAGUAAGGUGGAGUAAGGUGCAGUCAGGUGGAGUAAGGUGCAGUUAGGUGGAGUAAGGUGCAGUCAGGUGCAGUCAGGUGGAGUAAGGUGCUGUAAGCUGGAGUGAAGAGCAGUCAGGUGCAGUUAGGUGGAGUAAGGUGGAGUGAGGAGCAGUCAGGUGGAGUAAGGUGCAGUUAGGUGGAGUAAGGUGCAGUCAGGUCGUUGGAGUAAAGUGAAGUUAGGUGGAGAAAGGGUAAAGAAACACCUACUAGUCCUCUCCCCCUAAUUUCUCCCUCCCUCCUCUCUCCCCCAGAGAGAGAGACAGACAGGGAGCUUGAGAGCGAGAGGUUGAGAGAAAGAGGGGGAGACAGACAGACAGACAGCGGGGGGCAGGGUGAGACAGGGAGAGAGACAGGGACUCUGUCUCUCUGUGGAGGAGGAGCAGGAUGGUUUUGUUGGGGUCUGAAACGACCCCCAGCUCUUCUUGGGACUGGUCAGACUAGCAGCCAUCUUUUGUUUUACUGUUUGUUCAAUUUGGUUCUUAAUAAUCCUCACAUUCCUUCUGCUGGUUCUACUGGGAGCUGCCCAGUAGAACACAUUCAACCACAGUGCUACGGGGGGACAGAAUCCUGAAAUAAAAAGUAUUUUCCCAAAAGGAUUAUUAAAUGUGUUCUGAUUA
RNA transcript from Gadus morhua (Atlantic cod), 2717 nucleotides. It is a transcript of the gene named CDC42 small effector 1, with no coding region annotated. The transcript has 5 exons. The record is from RefSeq and is a predicted model, not a curated record. NCBI's taxonomy places the organism in Eukaryota, Metazoa, Chordata, Actinopteri, Gadiformes, Gadidae.